UGACGACCGGCGCACGGGUGCGUAACGCGUAUGCAACCUACCUCUUACAGGGGGAUAGCCCGAAGAAAUUCGGAUUAAUACCCCAUACGAUUAUUGAAUCGCAUGAUUUAAUAAUUAAAGUUCCGGCGGUAAGAGAUGGGCAUGCGUGACAUUAGCUAGUUGGUGAGGUAACGGCUCACCAAGGCAACGAUGUCUAGGGGUUCUAAAAGGAUGAUCCCCCACACUGGUACUGAGACACGGACCAGACUCC
This 250-nucleotide ribosomal RNA is filed under the name uncultured bacterium. RNAcentral describes it as "partial 16S ribosomal RNA". It matches the Rfam family "Bacterial small subunit ribosomal RNA", at positions 89 to 339 of the family's 1533-position model. The record is from RNAcentral.